This 82-nucleotide transfer RNA is filed under the name Felis catus (domestic cat). It matches the Rfam family "tRNA". Rfam says of the family: Transfer RNA (tRNA) molecules are approximately 80 nucleotides in length. Their secondary structure includes four short double-helical elements and three loops (D, anti-codon, and T loops). Lineage: Eukaryota; Metazoa; Chordata; Mammalia; Carnivora; Felidae. The record is from Rfam by way of RNAcentral.
GCUCAGUUGGUUAAGUAUCAGACUCUUGAUUUUGGCUCAGGCCAUGAUCCCAGGGUCGUGGGAUCAAGUCCUGCACUGAGCU